UAUCAACGGCACCACGAGGGUUAGACUGUCUCCUUUUUCAAAUCAGUGAAAUUAAUCUCCCCGUGAAGAAGCGGGGAUACUCAUAUAAGACGAGAAGACCCCAUGGAGCUUCAAACCCAACUACACCCCUAGCUCUUAUAGCCCCACAACCCCCCCCC
RNAcentral lists this ribosomal RNA (158 nucleotides) under Mantidactylus melanopleura. RNAcentral's name for it is "partial 16S ribosomal RNA". The record is from RNAcentral. Lineage: Eukaryota; Metazoa; Chordata; Amphibia; Anura; Mantellidae.